This 460-nucleotide ribosomal RNA is filed under the name uncultured bacterium. RNAcentral describes it as "partial 16S ribosomal RNA". It matches the Rfam family "Bacterial small subunit ribosomal RNA", at positions 338 to 795 of the family's 1533-position model. The record is from RNAcentral.
CCUACGGGCGGCAGCAGUGAGGAAUAUUGGUCAAUGGACGAGAGUCUGAACCAGCCAAGUAGCGUGAAGGAUGACUGCCCUAUGGGUUGUAAACUUCUUUUAUAUGGGAAUAAAAUGUUUCACGUGUGGGAUUUUGUAUGUACCAUAUGAAUAAGGAUCGGCUAACUCCGUGCCAGCAGCCGCGGUAAUAAGGAGGAUCCGAGCGUUAUCCGGAUUUAUUGGGUUUAAAGGGAGCGUAGGUGGAUUGUUAAGUCAGUUGUGAAAGUUUGCGGCUCAACCGUAAAAUUGCAGUUGAAACUGGCAGUCUUGAGUACAGUAGAGGUGGGCGGAAUUCGUGGUGUAGCGGUGAAAGGCUUAGAUAUCACGAAGAACUCCGAUUGCGAAGGCAGCUCACUGGACUGCAACUGACACUGAGGCUCGAAAGUGUGGGUAUCAAACAGGAUUAGAUACCCGAGUAGUC